AGAGUUUGAUCCUGGCUCAGAACGAACGCUGGCGGCAGGCCUAACACAUGCAAGUCGAACGCCCCGCAAGGGGAGUGGCAGACGGGUGAGUAACACGUGGGAACCUUCCCUAUAGUGCGGAAUAGCCCAGGGAAACUUGGAGUAAUACCGCAUACGCCCGAGAGGGGAAAGAUUUAUCGCUAUAGGAUGGGCCCGCGUAGGAUUAGCUAGUUGGUGAGGUAAUGGCUCACCAAGGCGACGAUCCUUAGCUGGUUUGAGAGAACGACCAGCCACACUGGGACUGAGACACGGCCCAGACUCCUACGGGAGGCAGCAGUGGGGAAUAUUGGACAAUGGGCGCAAGCCUGAUCCAGCCAUGCCGCGUGAGUGAUGAAGGCCUUAGGGUUGUAAAGCUCUUUUGCCGGGGA
Molecule: ribosomal RNA, 407 nt
Filed under: uncultured bacterium
Lineage: Bacteria
Description: bacterial SSU rRNA
Rfam family: Bacterial small subunit ribosomal RNA
Source: RNAcentral